GUGCUCGCUUCGGCAGCACAUAUACUAAAAUUGAAACGAUACAGAGAAGAUUAGCAUGGCCCCUGCACAAGGAUGACACCCAAAUUUGUGAAGUGUUCCAUAUUAAA
Molecule: small nuclear RNA, 107 nt
Organism: Nyctereutes procyonoides (raccoon dog)
Lineage: Eukaryota; Metazoa; Chordata; Mammalia; Carnivora; Canidae
Source: RefSeq, a predicted model, not a curated record